GGGCAGCAGUGGGGAAUUUUGGACAAUGGGCGAAAGCCUGAUCCAGCCAUUCCGCGUGAGUGAAGAAGGCCUUCGGGUUGUAAAGCUCUUUCGCAAGGGAAGAAAACUUACAUUCUAAUAAAGUGUGAGGCUGACGGUACCUUGAUAAGAAGCACCGGCUAACUACGUGCCAGCAGCCGCGGUAAUACGUAGGGUGCGAGCGUUAAUCGGAAUUACUGGGCGUAAAGCGUGCGCAGGCGGUUUGGCAAGUCAGAUGUGAAAUCCCCGAGCUCAACUUGGGAACUGCGUUUGAAACUGCCAGACUAGAAUAUGUCAGAGGGGGGUAGAAUUCCACGUGUAGCAGUGAAAUGCGUAGAGAUGUGGAGGAAUACCAAUGGCGAAGGCAGCCCCCUGGGAUAAUAUUGACGCUCAUGCACGAAAGCGUGGGGAGCAAACAGGAUUAGAUACCCUUGUAGUC
This 457-nucleotide ribosomal RNA is filed under the name uncultured Methylophilus sp. Its description in RNAcentral is "bacterial SSU rRNA". It matches the Rfam family "Bacterial small subunit ribosomal RNA", at positions 346 to 795 of the family's 1533-position model. Lineage: Bacteria; Pseudomonadati; Pseudomonadota; Betaproteobacteria; Nitrosomonadales; Methylophilaceae. The record is from RNAcentral.